Molecule: ribosomal RNA, 467 nt
Filed under: uncultured bacterium
Lineage: Bacteria
Description: partial 16S ribosomal RNA
Rfam family: Bacterial small subunit ribosomal RNA
Source: RNAcentral
GACGAACGCUGGCGGCGUGCUUAACACAUGCAAGUCGAACGGAAAGGCUCCAGCUUGCUGGAGUACUCGAGUGGCGAACGGGUGAGUAACACGUGGGUAAUCUGCCCUGCACUCUGGGAUAAGCCUGGGAAACUGGGUCUAAUACUGGAUAUGACCUUUCUCCUUAUGGGGUUUGGUGGAAAGUUUUUCGGUGUAGGAUGAGCCCGCGGCCUAUCAGCUUGUUGGUGGGGUGAUGGCCUACCAAGGCGACGACGGGUAGCCGGCCUGAGAGGGUGAUCGGCCACAUUGGGACUGAGAUACGGCCCAGACUCCUACGGGAGGCAGCAGUGGGGAAUAUUGCACAAUAGGCGGAAGCCUGAUGCAGCGACGCCGCGUGAGGGAUGACGGCCUUCGGGUUGUAAACCUCUUUCAGCAGGGACGAAGCGUAAGUGACGGUACCUGCAGAAGAAGCACCGGCUAACUACGUG